Molecule: ribosomal RNA, 439 nt
Filed under: uncultured bacterium
Lineage: Bacteria
Description: partial 16S ribosomal RNA
Rfam family: Bacterial small subunit ribosomal RNA
Source: RNAcentral
CCUACGGGAGGCAGCAGUGGGGGAUAUUGCACAAUGGAGGAAACUCUGAUGCAGCGACGCCGCGUGAGGGAAGACGGUCUUCGGAUUGUAAACCCCUGUCUUUGGGGAAGAUAAUGACGGUACCUAAAGAGUAAGCUCCGGCUAACUACGUGCCAGCAGCCGCGGUAAUACGUAGGGAGCGAGCGUUGUCCGGAAUUACUGGGGGUAAAGGGAGCGUAGGCGGGCGGGAAAGUUGAAUGUUAAAUCUACCGGCUUAACUGUAAACUGCGUUUAAAACUUCUUGUCUUGAGUGAAGUAGAGGCAGGUGGAAUUCCUAGUGUAGCGGUGAAAUGCGUAGAUAUUAAGAGGAACACCAGUGGCGAAGGCGGCCUGCUAGGCUUUAACUGACGCUGAGGCUCGAAAGCGUGGGGAGCAAACAGGAUUAGAUACCCGAGUAGUC